CAUCAGCGUGCUCCGGGCGUC
This 21-nucleotide small RNA is filed under the name Arabidopsis thaliana (thale cress). Its description in RNAcentral is "snRNA_02496". The record is from RNAcentral. Lineage: Eukaryota; Viridiplantae; Streptophyta; Magnoliopsida; Brassicales; Brassicaceae.